Xiphias gladius (swordfish) is the source of this 192-nucleotide long non-coding RNA. RefSeq lists it as uncharacterized. The record is from RefSeq and is a predicted model, not a curated record. NCBI's taxonomy places the organism in Eukaryota, Metazoa, Chordata, Actinopteri, Istiophoriformes, Xiphiidae. The transcript has 3 exons.
UCAGACAGGCCAGUUCAGCUAUGCCCCCCGCCCCAGCAACCUCAGGAUCUGAACCUGCAACUCUUCCACCACUGCAGCAGAACAGAGGAGAGUUCAGUCCAGCGGGACCAGAGGAGAUGAGCAGCCAGAAGAGAUCCAGAAGAUGCUGUAUGAGCGGAUGUUCGUCAACUGAACCCCCUCCCUCCAGAAUCC